GGGUUGUGAGGUUAAGCGACUAAGCGUACACGGUGGAUGCCCUGGCAGUCAGAGGCGAUGAAGGACGUGCUAAUCUGCGAAAAGCGUCGGUAAGGUGAUAUGAACCGUUAUAACCGGCGAUGUCCGAAUGGGGAAACCCAGUGUGAUUCGUCACACUAUCGUUAACUGAAUACAUAGGUUAACGAGGCGAACCGGGGGAACUGAAACAUCUAAGUACCCCGAGGAAAAGAAAUCAACCGAGAUUCCCCCAGUAGCGGCGAGCGAACGGGGAGCAGCCCAGAGUCUGAAUCAGCUUGUGUGUUAGUGGAACGGUCUGGAAAGUCCGACGGUACAGGGUGAUAGUCCCGUACACCAAAAUGCACAGGUUGUGAACUCGAAGAGUAGGGCGGGACACGUGGUAUCCUGUCUGAAUAUGGGGGACCAUCCUCCAAGGCUAAAUACUCCUGACUGACCGAUAGUGAACCAGUACCGUGAGGGAAAGGCGAAAAGAACCCCGGCGAGGGGAGUGAAAAAGAACCUGAAACCGUGUACGUACAAGCAGUGGGAGCACCUUCGGGUGUGACUGCGUACCUUUUGUAUAAUGGGUCAGCGACUUAUAUUCUGUAGCAAGGUUAACCGUAUAGGGGAGCCGCAGGGAAACCGAGUCUUAACUGGGCGUUAAGUUGCAGGGUAUAGACCCGAAACCCGGUGAUCUAGCCAUGGGCAGGUUGAAGGUUGGGUAACACUAACUGGAGGACCGAACCGACUAAUGUUGAAAAAUUAGCGGAUGACUUGUGGCUGGGGGUGAAAGGCCAAUCAAACCGGGAGAUAGCUGGUUCUCCCCGAAAGCUAUUUAGGUAGCGCCUCGUGAAUUCAUCUUCGGGGUAGAGCACUGUUUCGGCUAGGGGGUCAUCCCGACUUACCAACCCGAUGCAAACUACGAAUACCGAAGAAUGUUAUCACGGGAGACACACGGCGGGUGCUAACGUCCGUCGUGAAGAGGGAAACAACCCAGACCGCCAGCUAAGGUCCCAAAGUCAUGGUUAAGUGGGAAACGAUGUGGGAAGGCACAGACAGCCAGGAUGUUGGCUUAGAAGCAGCCAUCAUUUAAAGAAAGCGUAAUAGCUCACUGGUCGAGUCGGCCUGCGCGGAAGAUGUAACGGGGCUAAACCAUGCACCGAAGCUGCGGCAGCGACACUAUGUGUUGUUGGGUAGGGGAGCGUUCUGUAAGCCUGCGAAGGUGUGCUGUGAGGCAUGCUGGAGGUAUCAGAAGUGCGAAUGCUGACAUAAGUAACGAUAAAGCGGGUGAAAAGCCCGCUCGCCGGAAGACCAAGGGUUCCUGUCCAACGUUAAUCGGGCAGGGUGAGUCGACCCCUAAGGCGAGGCCGAAAGGCGUAGUCGAUGGGAAACAGGUUAAUAUUCCUGUACUUGGUGUUACUGCGAAGGGGGGACGGAGAAGGCUAUGUUAGCCGGGCGACGGUUGUCCCGGUUUAAGCAUGUAGGCUGGUUGUCCAGGCAAAUCCGGAUAAUCAAGGCUGAGGUGUGAUGACGAGGCACUACGGUGCUGAAGUAACAAAUGCCCUGCUUCCAGGAAAAGCCUCUAAGCAUCAGGUAACAUUAAAUCGUACCCCAAACCGACACAGGUGGUCAGGUAGAGAAUACCAAGGCGCUUGAGAGAACUCGGGUGAAGGAACUAGGCAAAAUGGUGCCGUAACUUCGGGAGAAGGCACGCUGGUGUGUAGGUGAAGUCCCUGCGGAUGGAGCUGAGACCAGUCGAAGAUACCAGCUGGCUGCAACUGUUUAUUAAAAACACAGCACUGUGCAAACACGAAAGUGGACGUAUACGGUGUGACGCCUGCCCGGUGCCGGAAGGUUAAUUGAUGGGGUUAUCCGUAAGGAGAAGCUCUUGAUCGAAGCCCCGGUAAACGGCGGCCGUAACUAUAACGGUCCUAAGGUAGCGAAAUUCCUUGUCGGGUAAGUUCCGACCUGCACGAAUGGCGUAAUGAUGGCCAGGCUGUCUCCACCCGAGACUCAGUGAAAUUGAACUCGCUGUGAAGAUGCAGUGUACCCGCGGCAAGACGGAAAGACCCCGUGAACCUUUACUAUAGCUUGACACUGAACAUUGAGCCUUGAUGUGUAGGAUAGGUGGGAGGCUUUGAAGCGUGGACGCCAGUCUGCGUGGAGCCAACCUUGAAAUACCACCCUUUAAUGUUUGAUGUUCUAACGUUGGCCCCUUACCGGGGUUGCGGACAGUGUCUGGUGGGUAGUUUGACUGGGGCGGUCUCCUCCCAAAGCGUAACGGAGGAGCACGAAGGUUAGCUAAUCCUGGUCGGACAUCAGGAGGUUAGUGCAAUGGCAUAAGCUAGCUUGACUGCGAGCGUGACGGCGCGAGCAGGUGCGAAAGCAGGUCAUAGUGAUCCGGUGGUUCUGAAUGGAAGGGCCAUCGCUCAACGGAUAAAAGGUACUCCGGGGAUAACAGGCUGAUACCGCCCAAGAGUUCAUAUCGACGGCGGUGUUUGGCACCUCGAUGUCGGCUCAUCACAUCCUGGGGCUGAAGUAGGUCCCAAGGGUAUGGCUGUUCGCCAUUUAAAGUGGUACGCGAGCUGGGUUUAGAACGUCGUGAGACAGUUCGGUCCCUAUCUGCCGUGGGCGCUGGAGAAUUGAGGGGGGCUGCUCCUAGUACGAGAGGACCGGAGUGGACGCAUCACUGGUGUUCGGGUUGUCAUGCCAAUGGCACUGCCCGGUAGCUAAAUGCGGAAGAGAUAAGUGCUGAAAGCAUCUAAGCACGAAACUUGCCCCGAGAUGAGUUCUCCCUGAGACUUUAAGUCUCCUGAAGGAACGUUAAAGACGAUGACGUUGAUAGGCCGGGUGUGUAAGCGCAGCGAUGCGUUGAGCUAACCGGUACUAAUGAACCGUGAGGCUUAACCUUACAACGCCGAAG
Molecule: ribosomal RNA, 2920 nt
Filed under: Klebsiella pneumoniae
Lineage: Bacteria; Pseudomonadati; Pseudomonadota; Gammaproteobacteria; Enterobacterales; Enterobacteriaceae
Description: 23S ribosomal RNA
Rfam family: Bacterial large subunit ribosomal RNA
Source: RNAcentral